Molecule: transfer RNA, 75 nt
Filed under: Rhodanobacteraceae bacterium
Lineage: Bacteria; Pseudomonadati; Pseudomonadota; Gammaproteobacteria; Lysobacterales; Rhodanobacteraceae
Description: tRNA-Ile
Rfam family: tRNA
About the family: Transfer RNA (tRNA) molecules are approximately 80 nucleotides in length. Their secondary structure includes four short double-helical elements and three loops (D, anti-codon, and T loops). Further hydrogen bonds mediate the characteristic L-shaped molecular structure. tRNAs have two regions of fundamental functional importance: the anti-codon, which is responsible for specific mRNA codon recognition, and the 3' end, to which the tRNAs corresponding amino acid is attached (by aminoacyl-tRNA synthetases). tRNAs cope with the degeneracy of the genetic code in two manners: having more than one tRNA (with a specific anti-codon) for a particular amino acid; and 'wobble' base-pairing, i.e. permitting non-standard base-pairing at the 3rd anti-codon position.
Source: RNAcentral
GGACGCGUAGCUCAGCGGUAGAGCACCCGGCUGAUAACCGGGAGGCCGCAGGUUCGAUCCCUGCCGCAUCCACCA